This 488-nucleotide long non-coding RNA is filed under the name Equus caballus (horse). RNAcentral describes it as "lncRNA (ENSECAG00000059344.1)". The record is from RNAcentral. Lineage: Eukaryota; Metazoa; Chordata; Mammalia; Perissodactyla; Equidae.
AGAUAAUAUAAAAUCUAUAAGAGAAGAGCCCAAGAACUCAGACAUUUCAGAAAUGUAGGUUUGAUCAUCCCAGUAGCAAACGUUUUGUAGAUAAUCUGAUAUAUUUCAGCACGAUGGCUGCUUGGAGUCUCCAAUUCCUUGGGAAAGUCACGCUUCUUACUGACGGAAUGCCGUUCCCAUGGGCCUGGACUGCAGAGUCUACUGGAAGUCUUGGCGUCCUGUCUGGUCAUCAGGCCACACUGUGACUUCCAGUCAUUGAAGAGAGAACCAACUCGGGCCCCAGGCGCUGAUUUCUCAUACCUCCCACACCCAUAUUCUUCCUAUUAUAAUCAUCACCCAAUUUCUCUUGUUUGUUUUAACCUUCGAAGAGGCAAAGAACAAGACACGCAAUAUACCACAGGCUUGGCCAUUUUGUGGAAUACAACGCAGCUGGCUGUACAGUAGAAGCCAGGCCUUCUGGAGACACUGGCACCCAUUUCAUAUUGUAU